AUGCCCAUGCAGCUGUGGUCACUGGAGGGGGCGGAAGAAGUCCUCGGUGACCUCUGCAUCGUCGAUCGCCUGGACAGCCGCACCCACGAGCGUGGACACACCAAGUCCUUCGCCUGUUGGGUGUGGACGACCGACACCGCGCGCAUCCCCACCAAGCAUGACAUUUGGCGCGCGGCCCGCGGGGCGGGACGGGUCGAGGCCAUGCUCGGGUUCUCGCCGCCGAGCCGCCAGGUGGCGCCCCCGCCUGGCAUCAGGCGCCGUGAGCUGCUGGUGCACGUCGACAGGAUCGAAGACUGG
RNAcentral lists this ribosomal RNA (297 nucleotides) under Triticum aestivum (bread wheat). Its description in RNAcentral is "partial small subunit ribosomal RNA". The record is from RNAcentral. Lineage: Eukaryota; Viridiplantae; Streptophyta; Magnoliopsida; Poales; Poaceae.